AAGAAUUUCCAACCAAUCACUAAAAAUACGCCACUCUUCCGACCCAAACUCAAAAUAGGAAAGGCUGGCCAAAACAUAAUUCCUCUAAUUAUUUGCCAUAAGGCCCAAAACUUAAAGCAAAACUCUAGUCCAUUUAAGUAUUUCCUUUGACUAAAACUUAACAGCAUCAAAAUUUAAAAACAAGAAAUAAAAAGGUCUUCUCUUUCAUUUAUUCCAUCAGUACACACUCUCUCUCAAUCUUAAAAUCCAAAUUAAAAUCCCAAAACAGAAACUCCAAUCUUCUUCCUCCCUCUCUCACGCACCGGCGAUUCUCCAUGGCGCCACCGUCAUUGUCCCCUUCGCCAGAUACACUGCAGUUUCAGCGCCGACUCAACCGCCUCAACUUGCUGUCGUCGCCGCGUAAGCUCCAGGCGCCGCCGUCGCGACUCACCGCGAGUCGACGAUGCUCCUCCCUUUGCGACUGAGCACGAUGAUUCAGAAUUAUCCUAAAUGAAUACAAGGAAUUCAAUGUUAGGAAUUGAUCGGUGAUUACCUUCUUAGGCGGCAGAAAACUCUCUUCUCCAACUCGGUUCUUUCUCUAUAUUUUUUUCAAGGUUUCUGAAGGUGAGAGAUGUGUGGGGGUGUAUAUAUAUAGAUAUACACAGGUGAAAUUGUUAUUGAAUGCCUCCUAAUUCUCAGGGAAGAGAUUUGAAUGGAAGAUUUGAGUAGAUUUGAGCA
Long non-coding RNA from Salvia splendens (bonfire salvia), 717 nucleotides. RefSeq lists it as uncharacterized. Lineage: Eukaryota; Viridiplantae; Streptophyta; Magnoliopsida; Lamiales; Lamiaceae. The transcript is spliced from 2 exons. The record is from RefSeq and is a predicted model, not a curated record.